GUGCUCACUUCGGCAGCACAUACACUGAAUUGGAAUGACACAGAGAUUAGCAUGGCCCCUGAGCAAGGACAACAUGCAGAUUCAUAAAGCAUUCCAUGGCUUU
Small nuclear RNA from Myodes glareolus (Bank vole), 103 nucleotides. The record is from RefSeq and is a predicted model, not a curated record. NCBI's taxonomy places the organism in Eukaryota, Metazoa, Chordata, Mammalia, Rodentia, Cricetidae.